GAUGAACGCUGGCGGCGUGCCUAAUACAUGCGAGUCGAGCGAACGGACGAGAAGCUUGCUUUUCUGAUGUUAGCGGCGGACGGGUGAGUAACACGUGGAUAACCUACCUAUAAGACUGGGAUAACUUCGGGAAACCGGAGCUAAUACCGGAUAAUAUUUUGAACCGCAUGGUUCAAAAGUGAAAGACGGUCUUGCUGUCACUUAUAGAUGGAUCCGCGCUGCAUUAGCUAGUUGGUAAGGUAACGGCUUACCAAGGCAACGAUGCAUAGCCGACCUGAGAGGGUGAUCGGCCACACUGGAACUGAGACACGGUCCAGACUCCUACGGGAGGCAGCAGUAGGGAAUCUUCCGCAAUGGGCUAAAGCCUGACGGAGCAACGCCGCGUGAGUGAUGAAGGUCUUCGGAUCGUAAAACUCUGUUAUUAGGGAAGAACAUAUGUGUAAGUAACUGUGCACAUCUUGACGGUACCUAAUCAGAAAGCCACGGCUAACUACGUG
RNAcentral lists this ribosomal RNA (497 nucleotides) under uncultured bacterium. Its description in RNAcentral is "partial 16S ribosomal RNA". It matches the Rfam family "Bacterial small subunit ribosomal RNA", at positions 28 to 507 of the family's 1533-position model. The record is from RNAcentral.